UACGUAGGCAGCAAACGUUGUUCGGAAUUACUGGGCGUAAAGAGUGUGUAGGCGGUUUUGUAAGUUUGGUGUGAAAUCUCCCGGCUUAACUGGGAGGGUGCGCCGAAAACUGCAAGGCUUGAGUACUGGAGAGGAGAGCGGAAUUCCUGGUGUAGCGGUGAAAUGCGUAGAUAUCAGGAGGAACACCGGUGGUGUAGACGGCUCUCUGGACAGUCACUGACGCUGAGACACGAAAGCGUGGGGAGCAAACAGG
This 253-nucleotide ribosomal RNA is filed under the name uncultured bacterium. Its description in RNAcentral is "partial 16S ribosomal RNA". It matches the Rfam family "Bacterial small subunit ribosomal RNA", at positions 524 to 776 of the family's 1533-position model. The record is from RNAcentral.